Molecule: ribosomal RNA, 494 nt
Filed under: uncultured Desulfobulbus sp.
Lineage: Bacteria; Pseudomonadati; Thermodesulfobacteriota; Desulfobulbia; Desulfobulbales; Desulfobulbaceae
Description: bacterial SSU rRNA
Rfam family: Bacterial small subunit ribosomal RNA
Source: RNAcentral
CUCAGAAACUUAAAGGAAUUGACGGGCCCGCACAAGCGGUGGAGUAUGUGGUUUAAUUCGAUGCAACGCGAAGAACCUUACCUGGUCUUGACAUCCCGGAGACCCUUAGGAAACUAGGGGGUGCUUCCAUCUGGAAGAAUCUGGAGACAGGUGCUGCAUGGCUGUCGUCAGCUCGUGUCGUGAGAUGUUGGGUUAAGUCCCGCAACGAGCGCAACCCUUGCCUUUAGUUGCCAGCAGUUCGGCUGGGCACUCUAAAGGGACUGCCGGUGUUAAACCGGAGGAAGGUGGGGAUGACGUCAAGUCCUCAUGGCCUUUAUGACCAGGGCUACACACGUACUACAAUGGCCGAUACAAAGGGCAGCGACACUGCGAGGUGAAGCCAAUCCCGUAAAAUCGGUCUCAGUCCGGAUUGGAGUCUGCAACUCGACUCCAUGAAGUUGGAAUCGCUAGUAAUCGUGGAUCAGCAUGCCACGGUGAAUACGUUCCCGGGCCUU